GAUGAACGCUAGCGGCAGGCUUAACACAUGCAAGUCGAGGGGUAGAGGAAGCUUGCUUCCUUGAGACCGGCGCACGGGUGCGUAACGCGUAUGCAAUCUACCUUAUACAGGGGGAUAGCCCAGAGAAAUUUGGAUUAAUACCCCAUAGUAUAAUUGAAUGGCAUCAUUUAAUUAUUAAAGUUCCAACGGUAUAAGAUGAGCAUGCGUCCAUUAGCUAGUUGGUGUGGUAACGGCACACCAAGGCGACGAUGGGUAGGGGUCCUGAGAGGGAGAUCCCCCACACUGGUACUGAGACACGGACCAGACUCCUACGGGAGGCAGCAGUGAGGAAUAUUGGUCAAUGGGCGCAAGCCUGAACCAGCCAUGCCGCGUGCAGGAUGACGGUCCUAUGGAUUGUAAACUGCUUUUGACAGGAAGAAACACUCCCCUCGUGAGGGAGCUUGACGGUACUGUAAGAAUAAGGAUCGGCUAACUCCGUGCCAGCAGCCGCGGUAAU
This 496-nucleotide ribosomal RNA is filed under the name uncultured bacterium. Its description in RNAcentral is "bacterial SSU rRNA". It matches the Rfam family "Bacterial small subunit ribosomal RNA", at positions 28 to 524 of the family's 1533-position model. The record is from RNAcentral.